Acanthosepion pharaonis is the source of this 113-nucleotide non-coding RNA. The record is from the annotation of a GenBank genome assembly. NCBI's taxonomy places the organism in Eukaryota, Metazoa, Mollusca, Cephalopoda, Sepiida, Sepiidae.
UACGGCUAUAUUACGUUGAAACACCGGUUCUCGUACGAUCAACAAAGUUAAGCAACGUCGAACCCGGUCUGUAUUUAGAUGGGUGACCACUUAGGAAUACCAGGUACUGUAAG